GGGGAUACGCUUAGAGUCCCCAAGGGUAUCGUGUUAAUAGUUGUGUCUUUGGCCGGGCACGACGGUUAGUGAAUC
The sequence is a regulatory RNA element, 75 nucleotides long. It matches the Rfam family "L13-Bacteroidia ribosomal protein leader". The record is from Rfam.